UAUGGUAGAACCGGGGUAAGCGUGUAGGAGGAGGACCAGGUAAAUCCGGGCCUCAUAAACUCUGAGACGUGAUACCGAGCCGCUUCAGGCGAAGUCAUUGAUCCUAUGCUGCCUAGAAAAGCCCAGCAGCGAGUUGACAUGGUGCCCGUACCCCAAACCAACACAGGUGGACAGGUAGAGCAUACCAAGGCGAGUGGGAUAACUAUGGUUAAGGAACUCGGCAAAUUGCCUCCGUAACUUCGGGAGAAGGAGGACCCCAGUAGCGUGGUGAGACUUGCUCUCUGAGCGUGAAGGGGUGGCACAAAAUUGAGGGAAGCGACUGUUUACCAAAAACACAGCAGCGUGCUAAGCCGUAAGGCGCUGUAUACGCUGUGACUCCUGCCCGGUGCUGGAAGGUUACGGGGAUGGGUUAGUCCUUCGGGACGAAGCUCUGAACCUAAGCCCCAGUAAACGGCGGCCGUAGCUAUAACGGUCCUAAGGUAGCGAAAUUCCUUGUCGGGUAAGUUCCGACCUGCACGAAUGGAGUAACGACUUCCCUACUGUCUCAACCAUAGACCCAGCGAAAUUGAAGUACGAGUAAAGAUGCUCGUUAGCUGCAGAAGGACGGUAAGACCCCGUGGACCUUUACUAUAACUUGAUGUUGUGUUUUGUCAUAUGUUGUGUAGGAUAGGUGGGAGACUUGGAAGCAUGGACGCUAGUCUGUGUGGAGUCAUCGUUGAAAUACCACCCUGCAUAUGGUGAGGCUCUAACCUAGACCCGUUAUCCGGGUUGGGGACAGCGUCAGGCGGGUAGUUUAACUGGGGCGGUUGCCUCCUAAAGAGUAACGGAGGCGCCCAAAGGUUCCCUCAGCCCCGUUGGCAAUCAGGCGUUGAGUGCAAUGGCAAAAGGGAGCUUGACUGCGAGACCUACAAGUCGAGCAGGAGCGAAAGCUGGGCAUAGUGAUCCGGCGGUUGCGUGUGGAAGCGCCGUCGCUCAACGGAUAAAAGGUACCCCGGGGAUAACAGGCUAAUCUUGCCCAAGCGUCCAUAGCGACGGCAAGGUUUGGCACCUCGAUGUCGGCUCAUCGCAUCCUGGGGCUGAAGCAGGUCCCAAGGGUUGGGCUGUUCGCCCAUUAAAGCGGUACGCGAGCUGGGUUCAGAACGUCGUGAGACAGUUCGGUCCCUAUCCUCUGCAGCCGGAGGUGAAUUGAGGAAAGCUGUCCCUAGUACGAGAGGACCGGGACGGACGCAGCUCUCGUGUGCCAGUUGUCCUGCCAAGGGCAUGGCUGGUUAGCGACCUGCGGAAAGGAUAACCGCUGAAAGCAUCUAAGCGGGAAGCCUCUUCCAAGAUGAAUUCACCCACAGGGUUAACCUGGUAAGGCCCGUGGUAGACCACCACGUUGAUAGGCCGGAAGUGUAAGCGUGGCAACACGUUCAGCUGACCGGUACUAAUCGGCCGAGGGCUUGAGUUA
This 1450-nucleotide ribosomal RNA is filed under the name metagenome. RNAcentral's name for it is "bacterial LSU rRNA". It matches the Rfam family "Bacterial large subunit ribosomal RNA", at positions 1497 to 2925 of the family's 2925-position model. The record is from RNAcentral.